This is a long non-coding RNA of Phyllopteryx taeniolatus (common seadragon), 1441 nucleotides long. RefSeq lists it as uncharacterized. NCBI's taxonomy places the organism in Eukaryota, Metazoa, Chordata, Actinopteri, Syngnathiformes, Syngnathidae. The record is from RefSeq and is a predicted model, not a curated record. The transcript is spliced from 5 exons.
AAAACACAAGCUAUCAUGAUCUUGACAAACUCAGGGCGCUGCCUGUGACAAGCUGGGACCAGAGCAAGAUUGAAAUGAGUCUAGAACAUAAAUACAUAAACUAAGCCUUCUGGCUGUGCAAGUGACUGAAUAUGUCUCAUAAAGCUUUGGACAUAAUCAGUAUGUUUCCUCACUACGGUUGUAUUGGUUUUAAUUAGACCUUGUUGCGAUUAUUGUACAAUGUUUUCAGAGCCCUGUAAUUUCAGAAAGUUAGGUUAUGUUAAAUUACGAUAAAGAACAAGCAGGACUUCUGGUUCCAGAGAGAAAUGUGAAAAGAAAACACAUGGCAGUAAAUUGCAAGAAAAGCAAUCAGAGUAGCCGAGGAGGUAAGCUUCACUUAUCACUGAUCCUCUCAACCGUUCAUUGACACACUUAAGCCAAGCAGGCGGACUUCCUCUGAUGGAACGGGCAACAGAGGUGAAGGAGGAUUUUGCUUUGGAACCUGGGGUCUGCUCUCAGCACUGGAGGACAGUGGUGUAUUCACAAGAUUUCCCCAGAGACAAUGGUCUUUCCACAGUGGGGAUUUAGCUCAAUUGGUUUCUGGCUGGCAGCACGGUAGUGACUGGUUAGAGUGUCUGCCUCACAGUUCUGAGGACUGUGGUUCAAUCCCCGGCCCCGCCUGUGGGGAGUUUCCAAGUUCUCCCUGUGCCUGUGUGGAAAAACAUCCAUGGUCUUGUUUCUCUGCCUCCAAUUUAUAUUUUGUUUCUGCACUCUCCUUGGUGAGCGUUGGCGGGCGCAACCUCCUGCGCCGCACCUGCUGUCGAUGAUCAUCAACCAGCCUGUUCAUCACGACACAGUGUGCGAUGUUUAAAAAGGAUGUUUUUAAUCUGCACGAGUUCUCCCCAUGAUGUGAUCUAGUGGACUGUGGACAAGGACAAAAGGAGCGGCCAAAACAUUCAUCUGAGAACAGUGCUUGGCAAGUUAUUUCCCAAAAUGUACAUUUGUGGUUAUGCUGAUUUCAAAGUUUAUUAGUUUAUUACAUUUUGGAUUUAUUAGUCUGUGAAUUGUACUGCAUUUAACAACUGCCUUGUGACUUACUUACUUUCACCAAUGCAACUGCAGAAUUCUAAAAGAUGACACGAAUGAAUAAUACAGCAAUGGAAUGGUGAAGCAUGUGGUUUAGCAUCACGGUCAGAAGGACCUGUGUUCAAAUCUCAUCUUGGAUCCUUCUGUGUAGAGAUAGUUUGUGUUAGAAUUUUUGUUCUUCCCGUGCUGAAAUGGAUUUUCUCCGGUUGCUCCGCCCUACUCCCACGUUCCCAAAAAAAUCCAUAUUAAUUAAUUGAAUGUGUAUCCAUAGGUGUGAAUGGUUAUCUGCCUACAUGUUCCCUGUGCUGGACAAGUGGCCAGUACAGCAUACACGUCUCUCAGUCAUUAAUUUACCGUUUUGUGCUACCCUAUACAU